AUCUGACUUUUCAAUAAAGAUUUUCAAAAAUAAUCAGCAAGAUGGAGUAAUUUGCAAAUUUCCCCCACUGGUUGGCAAGACCACCUUUCUAGGUGAGCGAGCCAAACUGAAGCCCCUUCAGAUAUUUUCCUUAAUGUCUUAUUCCUUGAUGGAUAUAUCUGACACAAUUUAUUUUGCCAAGAGGAAAUAAGUGAUCUGCCUUUGUGGAGACUACAAAAAAAGUCAAGCAACUUGGUACAUUUCAAUGACAGGACAGGACAGAAAGGCA
RNAcentral lists this long non-coding RNA (268 nucleotides) under Anas platyrhynchos platyrhynchos (common mallard). RNAcentral's name for it is "lncRNA (ENSAPLG00000023969.1)". Lineage: Eukaryota; Metazoa; Chordata; Aves; Anseriformes; Anatidae. The record is from RNAcentral.